AACGAACGCUGGCGGCAUGCCUAACACAUGCAAGUCGAACGAGACCUUCGGGUCUAGUGGCGCACGGGUGCGUAACGCGUGGGAACCUGCCUUUAGGUUCGGAAUAACUCAGAGAAAUUUGAGCUAAUACCGGAUAAUGUCUUCGGACCAAAGAUUUAUCGCCUUUAGAUGGGCCCGCGUAAGAUUAGCUAGUUGGUGGGGUAAAGGCCUACCAAGGCGACGAUCUUUAGCUGGUCUGAGAGGAUGAUCAGCCACACUGGGACUGAGACACGGCCCAGACUCCUACGGGAGGCAGCAGUGGGGAAUAUUGGACAAUGGGCGCAAGCCUGAUCCAGCCAUGCCGCGUGAGUGAUGAAGGCCUUCGGGUUGUAAAGCUCUUUCGCACGCGACGAUGAUGACGGUAGCGGUGAGAAGAAGCCCGGCUAACUUCGUGCCAGCAGCCGCGGUAA
This 449-nucleotide ribosomal RNA is filed under the name uncultured bacterium. RNAcentral describes it as "bacterial SSU rRNA". It matches the Rfam family "Bacterial small subunit ribosomal RNA", at positions 29 to 523 of the family's 1533-position model. The record is from RNAcentral.